CUCCCUUCUUCUCUCACACAGACACACCCUUCUGCCUCUCUCUCGAUCUCCCUACACUCCGGCAACUGGAGCCGAAGUCCGGCGAGCUCCGGUGACCCCCCUUCUUCACUCCGAUUAAGCACCACCAUCACCAUCACCCUCCUCCUCCCUCUUUCAAGCUCGCACCUGAACAAACCACCUCCACUGGUCUCUUCAGCCAGCGCCCGACACCACUGUUGGUGGCGGCGGCGGCGGCUUAACGACAGCGGCGGCAACAGGUUCCUCUCCCAACAAACCACUCCCACAGCUCGUCUUUCCCUCUCUUCCCGAUACACGACAGCGGCAAACCACGAAGACGUCGCCGGGAACCGCAAGCUUUUGUUUCGGUAUACUUUUUCCUUUCGUUCCAACCGUUCUAUUUGAUUUAUAUAUUUGCCGCUUUGAAUGUUAAAUAUAAACAUAAACAGUUAAUCGCUCUCGUUCAUUCUCUUGGAAUUCUCAAUCCUUACUUG
Molecule: long non-coding RNA, 491 nt
Filed under: Helianthus annuus (common sunflower)
Lineage: Eukaryota; Viridiplantae; Streptophyta; Magnoliopsida; Asterales; Asteraceae
Source: RNAcentral